CAGUCGCCGCGGUAAUACGAAGGGGGCUAGCGUUGCUCGGAAUCACUGGGCGUAAAGGGUGCGUAGGCGGGUCUUUAAGUCAGGGGCGGAAUCCUGGAGCUCAACUCCAGAACUGCCUUUGAUACUGAAGAUCUUGAGUAUGGGAGAGGUGAGUGGAACUGCGAGUGUAGAGGUGAAAUUCGUAGAUAUUCGCAAGAACACCAGUGGCGAAGGCGGCUCACUGGCCCAUAACUGACGCUGAGGCACGAAAGCGUGGGGAGCAAACAGGAUUAGAUACCCCCGUAGUCCCUGUCUCUUAUAC
This 301-nucleotide ribosomal RNA is filed under the name uncultured bacterium. Its description in RNAcentral is "partial 16S ribosomal RNA". It matches the Rfam family "Bacterial small subunit ribosomal RNA", at positions 509 to 807 of the family's 1533-position model. The record is from RNAcentral.